GUCUACGGCCACACCACCCUGAACGCACCCGAUCUCGUCUGAUCUGGGAAG
Molecule: ribosomal RNA, 51 nt
Filed under: Ailuropoda melanoleuca (giant panda)
Lineage: Eukaryota; Metazoa; Chordata; Mammalia; Carnivora; Ursidae
Source: RNAcentral